Molecule: long non-coding RNA, 452 nt
Filed under: Nicotiana benthamiana
Lineage: Eukaryota; Viridiplantae; Streptophyta; Magnoliopsida; Solanales; Solanaceae
Description: long non-coding RNA (NBEN_LNC021021)
Source: RNAcentral
GUUGCUCCAUUUUACAAGAUAUUAAAGGAAAAAAAGAAGGGAAACAUUUCGUCUUGACUUGUGAAGGGCAAACGUUUGUCAUAGUCAACAUUUUGCUUAAUCCUAGGAACAAUUUGUUCUUGUGGUUUUGGGAGAAUAACAGGUUUCAAUGAAAAAUAAUUUUCCAACUUAUUUCACAGGUCAAAAUUGGUCUUCGAGUUCUCACUCGUCCUGUUCCGGACCAACUACCCACUGUUUACCGAACACUUGGUGAGAACUAUAAUGAAAGGGUCCUCCCUUCCAUUAUUCACGAGACUUUGAAAGCUGUGGUUGCUCAGUACAACGCAAGCCAGCUCAUCACCCAGAGAGAGGUAUUUGCAAGCAAUGAAAGGGUCCUCCCUUCCAUUAUUCAUGAGACUUUGAAAGCUGUGGUUGCUCAGUACAACGCAAGCCAGCUCAUCACCCAGAGAGAG